Molecule: long non-coding RNA, 360 nt
Filed under: Elaeis guineensis (African oil palm)
Lineage: Eukaryota; Viridiplantae; Streptophyta; Magnoliopsida; Arecales; Arecaceae
Description: long non-coding RNA (EGUI_LNC075003)
Source: RNAcentral
UUAAUAUUAUCCUAAUAUUUAUAUAAAUAUAAUAUAAUAUAAUAAUAUUUAUUAUAUUUUAUUAUUUAUACUAAUAUAUAUUUUUAUUAAUAUUAAUAUAAUAUUUAUAUUAAUAUUAUAUUAUAUUUAUAUCUAUAUUAAUAAAUUUAUUAUAUUAAAAUAAUAAUAUUGUAUUAACAUAAUAUUAAUAUAUAUCAGUAUUAUAUUGACACAAUAAAUUAUUAUGAUCUGAUGUUAUAUUAUAAUAUAUUAAUAUUAUAUUUAUAUUAAUAUAAAUAUAAUAUUAAUAUUUAUAUAAAUUUUAGGAGUAAAAAUAUAUGAUUAAAUAUAUGGUACAUGCAGUAUUUUCAGAACCGGACC